This 342-nucleotide long non-coding RNA is filed under the name Pongo abelii (Sumatran orangutan). Its description in RNAcentral is "lincRNA". Lineage: Eukaryota; Metazoa; Chordata; Mammalia; Primates; Hominidae. The record is from RNAcentral.
UGGGAGCCAUGGAGGGUGCGUGAGCAGCAGGUGAGACUGGAGCCAGCUGAAAACUGGGAGACCGACCCAGCCAACAAACAAUGUCGGUCUCUGUCCUGGCACCCGCAGGAAACAAGCUCCUACUUCCAGAAAAAGUGCUCCUGGGACUCAAGGAUACCAAGCAUCUGGGUAAGGUACAACGCUUAACCACUUAACACAAUCAGGAAGCAACAGCCACGCAUUUGGGAAAGGAACUUCAGCGUUGUGUGGCUCACCUCCUGUUACCCUGUUACCAUGACAGCCCUGAUAAAAUAACUGGGAAAGUUCUUUUUCUUAUUGUUUUUUUAGUCCAAAAAAAAAAAA